Molecule: unclassified non-coding RNA, 542 nt
Filed under: Cladosporium sp. 8_20_21
Lineage: Eukaryota; Fungi; Ascomycota; Dothideomycetes; Cladosporiales; Cladosporiaceae
Description: sequence contains ITS1, 5.8S rRNA gene, ITS2
Rfam family: 5.8S ribosomal RNA (bases 187-340)
Source: RNAcentral
UCUCGUAGGUGACCUGCGGAGGGAUCAUUACAAGUGACCCCGGUCUAACCACCGGGAUGUUCAUAACCCUUUGUUGUCCGACUCUGUUGCCUCCGGGGCGACCCUGCCUUCGGGCGGGGGCUCCGGGUGGACACUUCAAACUCUUGCGUAACUUUGCAGUCUGAGUAAACUUAAUUAAUAAAUUAAAACUUUUAACAACGGAUCUCUUGGUUCUGGCAUCGAUGAAGAACGCAGCGAAAUGCGAUAAGUAAUGUGAAUUGCAGAAUUCAGUGAAUCAUCGAAUCUUUGAACGCACAUUGCGCCCCCUGGUAUUCCGGGGGGCAUGCCUGUUCGAGCGUCAUUUCACCACUCAAGCCUCGCUUGGUAUUGGGCAACGCGGUCCGCCGCGUGCCUCAAAUCGACCGGCUGGGUCUUCUGUCCCCUAAGCGUUGUGGAAACUAUUCGCUAAAGGGUGUUCGGGAGGCUACGCCGUAAAACAACCCCAUUUCUAAGGUUGACCUCGGAUCAGGUAGGGAUACCCGCUGAACUUAAGCAUAUCAAAA